Pelobates cultripes (western spadefoot toad) is the source of this 216-nucleotide non-coding RNA. Lineage: Eukaryota; Metazoa; Chordata; Amphibia; Anura; Pelobatidae. The record is from the annotation of a GenBank genome assembly.
UUUCAGGCAAUUUUGGUAGUUGUACGUUUGUACCAGACACCUGUUGCCAGUAUCGGGUUAGUUUCGGGCAAUGCCACCAGAUGUGUAUCAUGGUUCCUCGGGCCGUUUGGCAUCUCCAGCAGAUAUCUGAGCUUUCGGGGUAGCUGUGUUUGAGCCGUGUAGGAACUAAAUACCAUCUGUAGAGUAUCUUCCGAGACAGUUCCAGGUGGGUUGUGC